Molecule: ribosomal RNA, 229 nt
Filed under: uncultured bacterium
Lineage: Bacteria
Description: partial 16S ribosomal RNA
Rfam family: Bacterial small subunit ribosomal RNA
Source: RNAcentral
GGUGUAGGCGGUCUUUCAAGUCGGAUGUAAAAUCUCCUGGCUUAACUGGGAGGGAAUAUUCGAUACUGCUAGACUAGAGUGCAGCAGAGGGAGGCGGAAUUCCCGGUGUAGUGGUGAAAUGCGUAGAUAUCGGGAAGAACACCAGUGGCGAAGGCGGCCUUCUGGGCUGUUACUGACGCUGAGACCCGAAAGCGUGGGGAGCGAACAGGAUUAGAUACCCUGGUAGUCC